AAAAUUUGAUUAUGUCUGUAUAUUUCCCUUCUGUUUGCUUCGCUUCAAAUAUCCCGAAACCAUGUGCCACUUAUACUGCUCUACAAGUCAAACAGCAGAUAAACUGAAAGCAGUGCAGAGUGAAAGUGGCGAAAUUAGGAUUUUCUAUACUUACAUUAUUUGGAAAUUGUAGCUGAUCUUGGUAUCAUCCAUCAGUUGUCACUUUUGUAGCCUCACAGGUGAUUGAGAGGUUGAAUCACAUUAAAAUGUGGUUUUUACUCCAUCUGCAUGUGCAUGCAUCUGAAGGUGAUAGAUAGAUGGAGAUAGAUAUAAAUAGGGACGCAAAGUUCAUUGAGAACUUAAUAUCUUUAUCAUCUCAUCUUCCUUUCCAAGUUUUAAACCGGGCAUGAAACUUAAUUGGACUGAGAAGUGUUACAGAACACGUCGUGUUUAGGUUGUCACGGACACUCACCUGAAUCUAUAGAGCAAAUUCUGUAACAUCGCAGCUUUGUCAGGUACUUCUGGAAGGUCUUUUGACCUGCUGCGGGAUUCAUGGCAGUGCUGCUUCCCUCAGAUUCCUGUGAAAGCCUUGGGAACGGAUUGUACUACCUAUUACUUGGUCAGUUUGGAUUGAGUAAAACUCCAGAGUCUUGUCUCACAGAAGAAAAUCUGUCCAGCAAAUGAUUCAUGUGAUAGGUGCUUUAUUUCAGUCCUGGGUUAUUCUGGUGCUUUGUAAUGGAAGGGGAGGUUUGAGUUUGUAAGAGAUAAAAGUGAAAGCAUCAGUGCUAGGCAUGUGAUUGUCCUUCUAUUUUCUUCCCUUCGGUGGAUCCUAGUUUCCAUCUGCUCUUGUUUUUCCUUGUCAUUCAUUCUCUCAAUGAAUCAGGAGGUUUCCUCUAGCUUCUUCAGGAAAAAUAAAAAGAUAAAAAAUCAACAGAACUCAUGAAUCCACUUGACAUAAUUUACGGCUGAUACAUCAUCAAUGGUCAAUCAGAAGCAAAUAGGGAAGAGAAGGAAGAGAUCUGCUUCUGGAUUUUAUCUGCAUAAUAUAAAGAGCUGAAUAGCUGAUAAUCCAUUCCCUCGAUUUGGAUUUUUCUUUUUUUUAUUUUUUUUGAAAGAAAAGCCUAAAGCUCCUUGAGUGUUGCAUAAUAGUCAUAAAUCAUAAUAAAACUAAUCUUCCAUAUGAAAUGAUUUGUAUAUAUUUUUCCUUCAUAGCUAUAACCAUCAAAAAGAAUCAAAACUCUCUCUUUGCAUUGAUCAGAACUCCUCUUUUGAAGGUUGGCUCGCCACUAAAUAAAUCAGAUGACUAACAUGCAUUUAGAUGCUAUGCAUAAUCUUAGCCCCAAGUAAUGAAUGAAAACUUAUUUAACAGAAAAAAGAUUCUUAGAUUUGUGUUAGAAGGGUCUAGAAAACGAAGGAAGACCUAUGUCGACAUGAAUGGAAAUUGUUAUAGAAAAUUUGUAAAAGCUCGUGAUAACAUUUGUGUGACUCUUGUUCAUAAAGCCAGACACAAACAGUUUUGAUGAGCUUUCAUGAUUAUCGUAAAUGAUCAGGUGCUCACCCCUAAUUGCAUUCAUAGGACUAACUUAUAAGACAACUAAACUAUUCAAUAUCUUGAGGCACUUUGAUACCCUGACAUGCACUAACUAAAUUAUUUGAUCGAAAAAACACAGUUAUGUAUGCCUACAAGUCACUUGAACAGAAAUCUCAAUGCAAUCCCACAAAUAAAGCUUGUAAUCCAACUCAAAUCCCAGUCUAAUGCCAAAUAUGUACCUUGUAGCUUGUCAUGCAUUCUUUUCAGAUUAUGUGCACACACAUUAACUACUUUGAUUCCCCAAACUUGUGCCUUGCACUAGGCAGGUAAAACCUUAUAGGUUGUAGAAAUUAAGAGUAGUUUGCAUCACCUUUUAUCACUCACCAAGUUACUACAAUCCAGGAACACUCAAUUUGUUGUCACUAACUUCGUCCUUUAAAGGGUGCUAACAGUACAGCUGGUAAAGCCAUUGGGGGUCAAGUACCAAGGAUCUGGGUUCAAGUCCUGCACUUACCCUAGUUUUAGUUGGGCUUCUCCCAUCCUAGUCAGCCCCUCAACCCCCCACCCCACCCUUAAACAAAAGAAAGUAAAAAAAAAAAAAAGUUUCCUUCGCAUUUCAUGAAAAGAAACAAGGUGAAUCACCUCUUUUCUUUCAAGAAAAGGUUAUGACUAUUGUAUUCAGACAAGGAAUUUCACCAUCUCCAUCAAAAACAUGGUUUCAGAAAAGAGAAUACACUCGACAACUUGAAUUCAUUCAUCACUUCAAUCAACAGCUUCCUUCUAUGGACAGCCUCUUCAAUUUUACAAGAACUAUGCAAUAAAAGAAAAAAAAACUGUCCCCAGUGAAAAUCUAGUCACACUGUCCUCCUCCAGCAGAACCAAAACUAAUUUGAUCCAUACCGAGUGCUUCUACCACCAUAAAGAACCUCAUAAAACAUACAGCCAUGAUCCAUAGUACACAGGAAUAUAUUAGAAGCAUCAUGUCCAGCAUACAUUAAACAGUCUUUUUUGCUAAUCAAUGAUCGACAUUUAUCACUGCAACCUUUCUUUUGCCGGGCAAAUCAUAUGAAGAUGUUGCAUUGUGGCCACUUUCAGUGCACACAUUCUCACUAUAGUCAUUAUAUGUUCCCAAUCCUACAUUGGCAAUACUACUACAAACUUUUCAUCUUACUGUACACCAAAUUUAUUAAAUAUUUUGAUGAAACAGAUUAAGCAUAGUAAAUUUUGGUGUCCGCGUGGCCCUUUUAAUCAAGGAACAAGCAUCUGACAACUCCCUUUCAUCGAUCAAGAAUUUUGGUCUUUGCAAAGUAUAAUGAUCAUCCAAAAAAGAAAAAAAGGGUUUCAAUUUAUUCAAAUGAAUGACUCGAACACCUAUUGAUUUUAACAACUGAUUGCAGAGUUGAUCAUUUGGACCUUUCAAUUUCUAAUUUCUUGGAGCCUUUCUUUUUCAGAUAUAAUUUCUUUGAUGGUUGAACAACCCAUUAUCAUGCUUCUGAUAGGAACCAAUUCCUAUCUAUGAUAUUGGAGCAGAAAAAGAUAAAAGAGAAGAAAAUAGAAGAAAAGAAAUAAUGUUUGACCACUUGAGGGGAUCGGACCCUCCACAAGCCUUUAGGCCAAUUUUAUCGAACAGGUUUCUUAAUGUCUCUAGCCAAUAGGGAUUACAUAGAUGCGUUGACUAACAAGCAAGAAAAUCUAAUAUUAAGCAUACCAGGAAUAAGAAGAAAUAUAUACUAAAAAAUAAAAGUUAACCAAAAAGUUUAAACUUUCCUUCAAAGGCAAAUAAAAAGAGGUUUCGGCAAUGACGAAGAACUGGGAAGAGAGGCCUCAUCAUUGUCUCAACCCAAUCAAUAUCUCAAUCUCCACGGUGAACCAAUCCGAAAUCUUUACGUAGCAACAUUACUAAAAAGAAUAACAACCUAACCAAUAUUUAAAGACAGUAAGGGAAGAUUUCCAAGCCUCUGCACAAAUUUUAUCAAACAGUGUCCAAGAAAUCAAACUCAGAAUCUAAAAUCCCUAUAGCAAAAGCUUCAAGAAAAACAUCUUUAGCAAGCCUAGGCUAACUUAAGAAGAUCGAUAGAACGCAUCAAAUAAAUUCCAAGAAAAGAGAGCAUUCCCAGUAUUCAAUGAAUUUUAGUAACGUAGAAUCCAUCUAAAAAUUUCCGAGAAAAAGAAUCUAUCUGCGAAGAAUCCAACCCUAAUAUUGGAGGGAUUGGAGACGCUUACCGAAAUCGUGGCGUCGAGGUUUACGGCAGCAAUGGCUUCUCCGACCUCGCCGGAACGUCUCUCAUUCACUCCGUACGCCCCGAGCCUCGUCAUGAGAGGCGAUGCCGCCAAGAGGAGGAAGAAAGGAGGCGAGGAGAAGAGGGGAUGCAUGGCGGAAGCCAGAGCCGGAGGAACGGGGCGGAAGAAGGUGGAGGAGGAUGGGGCCUUUUGA
This 3944-nucleotide long non-coding RNA is filed under the name Phoenix dactylifera (date palm). Its description in RNAcentral is "long non-coding RNA (PDAC_LNC012185)". Lineage: Eukaryota; Viridiplantae; Streptophyta; Magnoliopsida; Arecales; Arecaceae. The record is from RNAcentral.